RNAcentral lists this ribosomal RNA (253 nucleotides) under uncultured bacterium. Its description in RNAcentral is "partial 16S ribosomal RNA". It matches the Rfam family "Bacterial small subunit ribosomal RNA", at positions 524 to 776 of the family's 1533-position model. The record is from RNAcentral.
UACGUAUGGGGCAAGCGUUAUCCGGAAUUAUUGGGCGUAAAGAGCGCGCAGGUGGUUAAUUAAGUCUGAUGUGAAAGCCCACGGCUUAACCGUGGAGGGUCAUUGGAAACUGGUUGACUUGAGUGCAGAAGAGGGAAGUGGAAUUCCAUGUGUAGCGGUGAAAUGCGUAGAGAUAUGGAGGAACACCAGUGGCGAAGGCGGCUUCCUGGUCUGCAACUGACACUGAGGCGCGAAAGCGUGGGGAGCAAACAGG